This 391-nucleotide unclassified non-coding RNA is filed under the name soil metagenome. Its description in RNAcentral is "partial contains 5.8S ribosomal RNA, internal transcribed spacer 2, and large subunit ribosomal RNA". The stretch from base 1 to 122 matches the Rfam family "5.8S ribosomal RNA", at positions 35 to 154 of the family's 154-position model. The record is from RNAcentral.
GAUGAAGAACGCAGCAAAAUGCGAUACUUGGUGUGAAUUGCAGAAUCCCGUGAACCAUCGAGUUUUUGAACGCAAGUUGCGCCCGAAGCCAUUAGGCCGAGGGCACGCCUGCCUGGGCGUCACACGUCGUUGCCCCCCCAUCUACUCCUUCGGGAUUGCGGGGGGCGGAUGAUGGCCUCCCGUGCGCCUCGUCGCGCGGUUGGCCUAAAUGCCAAGUCCUCGGCGACGCACGCCACGACAAUCGGUGGUUGCGAAACCUCGGUUGCCUGUCGUGUGCGGUCGUCGCGCAUCGAGGGCUCGAAAAAAUUGCCGGGCUUCGGCUCGACUUUCAACGCGACCCCAGGUCAGGCGGGGUUACCCGCUGAAUUUAAGCAUAUCAAUAAGCGGAGGA